CAAGUUGAACGGUUGAGCGGGUAGCAAUAUUCUGUGUCAGCAGUGGCGUAAGGGUGCUUAACACGUGGGUAAUCUGCCGCGAAGUGUGGGAUAACUCGCUGAAAGGCGAGCUAAUACCGCAUGUGAUUUUCCUGAGGCAUCUCAGGGAAUUCAAACAUGGGUCGCAAGGCCUGUGGUUUCGCGAUGAGCCCGCGGCCUAUCAGCUAGUUGGCGGGGUAAAAGCCCACCAAGGCUAAGACGGGUAGCUGGUCUGAGAGGACGACCAGCCACACUGGAACUGAGACACGGUCCAGACACCUACGGGUGGCAGCAGUCGAGAAUUUUUCACAAUGGGGGAAACCCUGAUGGAGCGACGCCGCGUGGGGGAUGAAGGGCUUCGGCUCGUAAACCCCUGUCAUUGGCGAACAAGUGUUGCAUCCUAAUACGGUGCAACUUGAUAGUAGCCGAAGAGGAAGGGACGGCUAACUCUGUGCCAGCAGCCGCGGUAAUACAGAGGUCCCGAGCGUUGUUCGGAUUCACUGGGCGUAAAGGGUGCGUAGGUGGUUGGUUAAGUUUGAGGUGAAAGCUCCGAGCUCAACUCGGAAAAUGCCUUGAAGACUAUCUGACUAGAGGGUUGGAGGGGAGACUGGAAUUCUCGGUGUAGCAGUGAAAUGCGUAGAUAUCGAGAGGAACACCAGUGGCGAAGGCGAGUCUCUGGACAACACCUGACACUGAGGCACGAAAGCCAAGGGAGCAAACGGGAUUAGAUACCCCGGUAGUCUUGGCUGUAAACGGUGCGCACUUGCUGUGAGCGGAUUCGACCCCGCUCGUGGCGUAGUUAACACGAUAAGUGCGCCGCCUGGGGAAGUACGGUCGCAAGAUUAAAACUCAAGAAAUUGACGG
Molecule: ribosomal RNA, 882 nt
Filed under: uncultured bacterium
Lineage: Bacteria
Description: bacterial SSU rRNA
Rfam family: Bacterial small subunit ribosomal RNA
Source: RNAcentral